RNAcentral lists this ribosomal RNA (165 nucleotides) under Cymbidium aloifolium. RNAcentral's name for it is "5.8S ribosomal RNA". It matches the Rfam family "5.8S ribosomal RNA". From Rfam's summary of the family: 5.8S ribosomal RNA (5.8S rRNA) is a component of the large subunit of the eukaryotic ribosome. It is transcribed by RNA polymerase I as part of the 45S precursor that also contains 18S and 28S rRNA. Lineage: Eukaryota; Viridiplantae; Streptophyta; Magnoliopsida; Asparagales; Orchidaceae. The record is from RNAcentral.
GGACAUGACUCUCGGUAAUGGAUAUCUCGACUCUCGCAUCGAUGAAGAGCGCAGUGAAAUGCGAUACGUGGUGCGAAUUACAGAAUCCCGUGAACCAUCGAGUCUUUGAACGCAAGUUAUGCCCGAGGCUAGCCGGCCGAGGGCACGUCCGCCUGGGCGUCAAGC